RNAcentral lists this transfer RNA (77 nucleotides) under Faecalibacterium prausnitzii. RNAcentral's name for it is "tRNA-Arg". It matches the Rfam family "tRNA". Rfam says of the family: Transfer RNA (tRNA) molecules are approximately 80 nucleotides in length. Their secondary structure includes four short double-helical elements and three loops (D, anti-codon, and T loops). Lineage: Bacteria; Bacillati; Bacillota; Clostridia; Eubacteriales; Oscillospiraceae. The record is from RNAcentral.
GUCUCUGUAGCUCAGCAGGAUAGAGCGUUCGCCUCCUAAGCGGAAGGCCGUGUGUUCGAAUCACAUCGGGGACGCCA